CCUCUUCCUCUGCUUUGCGCACGAGUCCAGCGCGCAUGCAAACCACUCCGUGUCCGCACGCUGCACGCUGGCUAACGGCGUCCCGGCACCCUCCUCCAUCGCUGGUCUGAGCCUCGACCUCCUCCCGGGUCUUGGAGCUUGCCUCCGUCGCCAGGAGUCGACAGCCGCGUCCCUCUCUCCGCGGUGGACGCCGCGCACCGAGCGGACGAUGUGAUCGUCACCGGCCCGGACUGAGAGCCCCCGUGCUCACCUCAUGCGUGGACACCAUCCCUGCCUCGCGUCUGCACCUCAAGCCGUGCCCGAUUCCACCUGAGUGAGACCGGCCGCGUCCAGGCGUCCAGCUCCAGCACAUGACUCCGCCACCCGUAUGAGGUCCAGUCCGUCGGCGUGGCCGAUUACCCAAUACCCAUCCGGUUCUUCCUCUCCACGGCACUGGCGCGAGCUCACUAACCUCCUGGGAACGGCUCCGGCGGGCGCCCCGACGAACUCCUUCGCCGUCGCCGUACGGCCACGUCGCCUCCGCCGCUCCAUCCGUCCCUACCAACGACGAGGUACAGCCCUGGUGUAGAGAAGAAGCCCUCGUCCAGGACCCGCUACUCCUGCCGUGAGAACCGCCGCCGUUCACCGCCGGCAACCACCGGCAAGGCUCCUUACCCCGCACCCCUCGGCUUUCCCACGAAUCGGUGAUUAACCGACCAGACAGGCCCGGUUUCCUUGCAGCCACUGACCUACGGGCCCCGCAUACUCGGUUCAUUUUUAAAACCAGACAGAGUCAGCUGAACAAGUUGUAAGUAUUACUAUUUGAUUAACAAUUAAAAUUUCUAACUGAAUUUACUGCGUUCAAGUGUUUUUCAAUAUUACCUGAAAAAGAAAACGUGUUUUCUUCUUCGAUAUUUCCUCUUAUCCAAGCUAACUUUUGUACUCCUUUGUCAGUGUGGACAUGGACCAAUGGUACUGUUUGUCUUGUCAAGCCACAGAAGUUUAAGCACCGAACCCUGCAUGUUGAAAAUGACAGAACAUUUAUAUCAUUUUCCAGCAAAAUAAAUAGAGGCCCAUGUAUCUGAUCCAGCAUUUGGGGUUAGCAUUUGUGUUUUGGUCUCAUCUCUUUAAUGUUGACAGCACAGUGGUUCAAUUCUAAAUUUUUUAUCUAAAGGCUGCAGUAAUUGGGCUUAAACAACAUGGCUUUGGACGUAGUACAAAACUGUCAAAUGCAUAUUUUCUCUCAAAUAUAUAUGCACAUGAGUUCCUAUGCAGUUUCGUAUAUAUCUGAUUAUUACCUUGUCUUAGUUAGUGUAGCAGAUCUUUGAUAUUUUUUUCAUCUUGUGGCAAUAUUUGGUGUGCGUUUUUCCUCGUCUUGUGGCAACAUUUGUUGUGUGGGUUACAUUUCUUACCCUUCUACAUCCCCUUUUGUCGAGAGAUAAAUGUGUUCUUCAAUUAUAGUGUGGAAGAUGAGUACAAUAUCUCUAGAUACAAGUAAUAAAUAUUCAUAAGAAUCUUCAUUGUUACUACCUCAUUUUUUGCAGAGCUUUGAAUGGUAAUCAACUAUCCGGUUCCCUACCAGAUGAGAUUGGCUAUCUCAAGAACUUAAACAGAUUACAAAUCGACCAAAAUCAAUUAUCUGGACCCAUACCUAUGUCGUUUGCUAAUUUAAAAAGCCUGGAGCAUCUUUACAUGAACAAUAAUUCAUUAAGUGGGCAAAUUCCAUCUGAGUUGUCCACAUUGCCUUAGCUCCUUCAUCUGCUUGUGGAUACCAAUAAUUUAUCUGGACCUCUUCCUCCAAAAUUAGCAGAGACGCCUAGUUUGAAAAUAUGGCACAUUUUAUAUACCCAAUGAGACUUCUUUGGCGUAGAGAAUUACUUUAUUUCAGAAUGUGUUCUGGUUUCUUUCAGAGAAUAUCCGAUGCUGGUUGUGUGAUGACUACGUUAGUUUUGCUCGUCUGAGAAUAUUUAGUAAUGCUACAAAAUUCAGUAGUGUACUUAAAUGUUGCUUAAAUAUAAUUUGGUUCUGCCUUUCUUGUGUUACUAAACACAGGGGCGGACGCAUGUUGUGGCGAGUGGGGGCCCAGGACCCCGCUCGAUUCAUCGUCCUCUUCGUACUACGUCCCGAUGCUAGCGAGCAGGCCCCCGGUCGGGCUAUAGCAGGCUGAAGGCGUGCGUCUACCCUGCUGCCGCCUGCCGCUUCGACUCUGGGAGCUCACAAUUAAUAGCGAGAAAAACGAAGAGGCGAGCCCUCGGCCGCCGCUUGGUUGGACCAUUGGUGGAUCGCGGCUUGGCGGGUGCCAGUCCUGUGCCAUCCGGUCGCCGGCCACCGGCGGCGCCACCGUCGACGGGUGUACAGCAGCAACGGAUGAACGGAGCAUCCUCAGCAACUCAUCUCUAAUCAGGUCUGUAGCACCUCCUCAUCUCCUUAUCCCAAACGACUACAGAGAUACUUCUUAGUUCUUUAUUUUGCUUGCUGUUGCCUGACUACACUCUGGUCCUUAUUCUUCAGUUGAUUCCUUGGUUUAUCUCAUAUCAAAUCAAAUGAAAACUUGCGGUUCGUACUAGUACAGUAGUACUACUCUAUCAGACAUGUAGCCAUGUACUGUUGGUUCUACCAAAAAAUUAUAGGAUUAGUGUGACACACUACUUGUACUUGGAAAAUUUCUAUGGAAUUCAAUCUGGCAUGCCAUUCUACUACUAGUACUUUUGCUGGCCUGCUAGUCUGCUCCACUAGAAUGUUUUGUAUCUGAACUUUUACAAUUUGUGCUUCCAU
This is a long non-coding RNA of Triticum aestivum (bread wheat), 2754 nucleotides long. RefSeq lists it as uncharacterized. NCBI's taxonomy places the organism in Eukaryota, Viridiplantae, Streptophyta, Magnoliopsida, Poales, Poaceae. The transcript is spliced from 4 exons. The record is from RefSeq and is a predicted model, not a curated record.